UACGUAGGGGGCGAGCGUUGUCCGGAGUUACUGGGCGUAAAGGGCGCGCAGGCGGUGCGGCGCGUUUGGCGUGACAGCGGAGGGCUUAACUCUCCGAGGAUGCGGAAGACGGCGGCACUUGAGGGCCAGAGAGGGACACGGAAUUCCGGGUGGAGUGGUGAAAUGCGUAGAGAUCCGGAGGAACACCGAAGGCGAAGGCAGUGUCCUGGCUGGUGACUGACGCUGAGGUGCGAAAGCUAGGGGAGCGAACGGG
RNAcentral lists this ribosomal RNA (253 nucleotides) under uncultured bacterium. Its description in RNAcentral is "partial 16S ribosomal RNA". It matches the Rfam family "Bacterial small subunit ribosomal RNA", at positions 524 to 776 of the family's 1533-position model. The record is from RNAcentral.